Molecule: ribosomal RNA, 504 nt
Filed under: uncultured bacterium
Lineage: Bacteria
Description: bacterial SSU rRNA
Rfam family: Bacterial small subunit ribosomal RNA
Source: RNAcentral
GAUGAACGCUAGCAGCAGGCCUAAUACAUGCAAGACGAACGGUAAGUUGAGUAGCAAUACUUAGCCAAGAGUGUCGUACGGGUGCGUAACACGUAUGCAACCUACCCUAUACAGGAGGAUAGCCUAGGGAAACCUGGAUUAACCCUUCAUAGUAUUAUUGGAUGGCAUCAUUUGAUAAUUAAAACUGAGGUGGUAUAGGAUGGGCAUGCGUCUGAUUAGUUAGUUGGCGGGGUAAUGGCCCACCAAGACGAUGAUCAGUAGGGGUUCUGAGAGGAAGAUCCCCCACACUGGCACUGAGAUACGGGCCAGACUCCUACGGGAGGCAGCAGUAGGGAAUAUUGGUCAAUGGAUGCAAGUCUGAACCAGCCAUGCCGCGUGCAGGAAGAAGGCCCUUUCUGGGGUUGUAAAACUGCUUUUGCCAGGGGAUAAAAUUUCCAUGCGUGGAAAACUGAAGGUACCUGGUGAAUAAGCCACGGCUAACUACGUGCCAGCAGCCGCGGUAAU